AUUUGCAGCUCCCUGCUAAUGCACCCAAGUGUGCUCACCACAACAAUCACCACGAGGGUUUCAUGAACUUUAUGCACCGAGAUGAGGAGGUGAAUUACUUCCCUUCAAGGUUUGAUCCUGCUCGCCAUGCCGAGAGGUAUCCUCACCCACCUGCUGUCUGCACUGGACAGCGUGAGAGGUGCGUAAUUGCCAAGGAGAACAACUUUAAGGAGCCUGGAGAGAGAUACAGAUCUUGGACAUCAGACAGACAAGAACGAUUUAUCCGGAGAUGGGUGGAUGCUUUGUCUGACACCCGUGUCACCCAUGAGAUCCGCAGCAUCUGGAUUUCUUACUGGUCUCAGGCGGACAGGUCUCUUGGUCAGAAGCUUGCAUCUCAUCUCAACGUGAGGCCAAGCAUUUGAGGAGUGUUCA
RNAcentral lists this unclassified non-coding RNA (411 nucleotides) under Hevea brasiliensis (rubber tree). The record is from RNAcentral. Lineage: Eukaryota; Viridiplantae; Streptophyta; Magnoliopsida; Malpighiales; Euphorbiaceae.